Long non-coding RNA from Rosa rugosa (rugosa rose), 1642 nucleotides. RefSeq lists it as uncharacterized. The record is from RefSeq and is a predicted model, not a curated record. The transcript has 11 exons. Lineage: Eukaryota; Viridiplantae; Streptophyta; Magnoliopsida; Rosales; Rosaceae.
UUAUCGGCUCCAGCCGAGCCGGAUGGUGGAAAUCAUGUUUUCGUCCUUAUUUUGUGAUAAGGACGACACCCACGUCAUUUCCUCGACUCUUCCAGACUAUCAUCACCAGCUGCAGUCCCUCUUUCGCUCUCCCAAAGCUGAACGAUACAGUCAAUUCAAUCAUCCCAAAAUUUUUUUCAGAUCCAUCAAUUGUAUCUUACCAGAACAAAAAAGAAAAAAUUAACUCUAUCCAAAUCUCUGUCCUCAAGGAAAAAAAGGGUGCAAACUGGUCGUCCUGCUGUCGGUUUUGCUCUUAGAUGGAGACGCACCGUCAAACACAGUUUCAGGGGCAACAACAGCUUUGCUUCGGAAUCUUGAUCAUCGCAUGUCAAGCUAUUCAUACAUCUCCUGGUGUUUGAGAAUAAACUGAUGUUGAUAUGUUAUACGAAAGUCCAAGAUAUAGGAUGCAAAGGAAUGCUUGGAACUGUUUUCUAUGGACAGGGCGACUAAAUUUAAUUAAAUGACCCUUGCCAAUGUGAACAACUUCAAGAGGCUCUUAAAAGAGGAGGAAGAGGAUAAUAACUAUGAAGUAGACCUUCAAGUUACCUCAAAAAGAUGCGAGUUUGAUGAAGAUGAUUCAAGCUCAUCUGUGAAGAACAUUCUUCUUCUAGACUCUGAAGGGAAGCAUGUUACUCUCAUAAUUGGCCAACAAUUGCUGCAAAUCUAGCUUGAACAAUCUGUGUUCACUAAGACUCUAAUGACAAAUGCAUGGAUAGAAGCAGAGGUUAUGAUGUUCGUGUGCAACGUUGUUAUAUAUAAGUUUGUUCAGGACCUUCACUUCUUUGUGACCGGAGGUGAUGAUGAAAAUGAACUCAUUUAGCCACUGUACUUCAGGGAUUCUUUGAUGAGUUCCCCUUCUCUUGAGAUUUGUCAUCUAUCAAUCUGUCAGCCAGAGUUUCAAAUUGAAUUGAAGUUUGCAGAGGCUUUAGAAUUUCAUCAUCCACUGUUGAGCUUGAACCAGACCAAGCAUUACCCAUGUGACUACGUUCAUCAUCUUGGCUGGAAGGUUGAAAGACGGCGGGUUAUCUUUUUGAAGUGGAUUUCUUUUGGCUUACUUUUGAUCACUGCUACAGCUUGAUUGAUUGUUAUAAAUUGCAGACCACGAUACAGUUAGAAAUCUGGAAUAGUGGGUUUCAUACCUUGGUUUUGGAUAAGGAAUGUCGAAGUACAAAGAGCCAAUGGAACAGAUGAGUUUUGCAGGCAAUGGAAGUCUCACUUUAUAUAUAAAGACUAAAGCCAAAGCAGCAACCAAGGCCUAUCCAUUUCCAGUGUUAUCACAGGAAUAUGGCUUUUUCCCCCGCAGCAUCGCGCGGGCUACUUUCCUAGUGUUAACAAAAUAGCAGCACACACUAAUGUUUCAUGCUUUAUAUAUGAUGAAGUCAUGGUUUGAGUAUGAUGGUCAUUUUGAACACGCAUAAUUUAAAAAUGACCAUCAUACUCAAAACAUGACAUAAAUAAUAUAAAUUAUAAGAGAUUUGUCAUUUUAAAGUAUUUAAUGUGUAUACGUAGAUCGCAUUGAGUCUCAAAUAAAAUAUUAGAGAAAAUUAAACAUGUAAUGAUAACAAAUUUUUAAUCGGUGAGCAUGGAGAUUUUAUUGUUUGCA